This 77-nucleotide transfer RNA is filed under the name Oscillospiraceae bacterium. Its description in RNAcentral is "tRNA-Pro". It matches the Rfam family "tRNA". From Rfam's summary of the family: Transfer RNA (tRNA) molecules are approximately 80 nucleotides in length. Their secondary structure includes four short double-helical elements and three loops (D, anti-codon, and T loops). Further hydrogen bonds mediate the characteristic L-shaped molecular structure. tRNAs have two regions of fundamental functional importance: the anti-codon, which is responsible for specific mRNA codon recognition, and the 3' end, to which the tRNAs corresponding amino acid is attached (by aminoacyl-tRNA synthetases). tRNAs cope with the degeneracy of the genetic code in two manners: having more than one tRNA (with a specific anti-codon) for a particular amino acid; and 'wobble' base-pairing, i.e. permitting non-standard base-pairing at the 3rd anti-codon position. The record is from RNAcentral. Lineage: Bacteria; Bacillati; Bacillota; Clostridia; Eubacteriales; Oscillospiraceae.
CCGGGCUUGGCGCAGUUUGGUAGCGCGCUUGCUUUGGGAGCAAGAGGCCGUGGGUUCGAAUCCCGCAGCCCGGACCA